GGGGAUGUAGCUCAGUGAUGGAGCACAUGCCUAGCAUGAGUGAGGCCCUGGGUCCAACUUCCAGUAUCCCUC
This 72-nucleotide transfer RNA is filed under the name Heterocephalus glaber (naked mole-rat). It matches the Rfam family "tRNA". From Rfam's summary of the family: Transfer RNA (tRNA) molecules are approximately 80 nucleotides in length. Their secondary structure includes four short double-helical elements and three loops (D, anti-codon, and T loops). Lineage: Eukaryota; Metazoa; Chordata; Mammalia; Rodentia; Bathyergidae. The record is from Rfam by way of RNAcentral.